Molecule: ribosomal RNA, 483 nt
Filed under: uncultured Tylospora
Lineage: Eukaryota; Fungi; Basidiomycota; Agaricomycetes; Atheliales; Atheliaceae
Description: eukaryotic LSU rRNA
Rfam family: 5.8S ribosomal RNA (bases 136-290)
Source: RNAcentral
GGCACGUGCACGCCCGAGCCCUCAAAUCCCAACACACCUGUGAACCCACCGUGGGCCUUCGGGCCUAUGUAUAUAUCAAACCCUGAAUGUGUACCGGAAUGUAAACUUUGCCUUUUGAAACGCAAAUUGAAAUACAACUUUCAACAACGGAUCUCUUGGCUCUCGCAUCGAUGAAGAACGCAGCGAAAUGCGAUAAGUAAUGUGAAUUGCAGAUUUUCAGUGAAUCAUCGAAUCUUUGAACGCACCUUGCGCUCCUUGGUAUUCCGAGGAGCAUGCCUGUUUGAGUGUCAUUAAAUUCUCAACCCCGUCGGUUUGUUCUGGCGGGGCUUGGACUUGGAGCGUGCUGGCGAAGGUCGGCUCCUCUUUAAAUGCAUCAGCGGAAGGAACCUUUGUCUUUCUUGCCUUCAGCGUGAUAAUCGUGUUGCGCUGUGGGCGGAAGUCGGAAGUCCGCUUCUAAUGGUCUUCGGACGGUUAUACAUGACG